GAAAGUAGGACGAGCAGGACGAUGAGAAAAGUAUUUCAAGUAAAAAUGUUGACAGAAAAACAGAGAGUGGAAGAAGAAGUGAUGACAGAUAUGAAGAUCCAAGUGUGAUUGAAGACAGUGAUAAACUCUGCAGGAAGAGACAAAGAUGAAGGCCUUCCAGCUCGCUGCUGUCCUCCUGCUCGUCUGCAUCGGCAGCGCAGAGGCUCUGACGUGUAACCGCUGUAUUGGUUUAUCUUGCCGCACCAGUGACGAACGCUGCAGCCCUUCACUCGAUGUCUGUGGCAAAGUCUUCUGUGUGACAUCAUUCAGGACCUUGUAUUUCAGGAGGUGCAUGAAGACAGGGGACGACAUAAUUCUCCGGACCCUUCUUAACUGUGAAGUCUAUACAUGUUACACUGACCGCUGCAACUGAGAUGACGAUCUGAAACCUCAACAUGUCUGCAGAAAUAACUCGAUUCUAAUCAUUGGUGAUGUAAUAUUAUAAAGAGUCCGGUCUAGACCUGCUCUGCAUGAAAAGUGUCACUUGUAUGAUUUGGCACUAUAUAAAUAAAAUUUAAAUGAAUUGA
Larimichthys crocea (large yellow croaker) is the source of this 566-nucleotide long non-coding RNA. RefSeq lists it as uncharacterized. The transcript has 4 exons. The record is from RefSeq and is a predicted model, not a curated record. NCBI's taxonomy places the organism in Eukaryota, Metazoa, Chordata, Actinopteri, Sciaenidae.